CAAGACAUAGCUUAAGUUCUAAAGCACCCAGCUUACACCUGAAAAUGACCCAAUAUAGGGCUGUCUUGA
This 69-nucleotide transfer RNA is filed under the name Phrynops hilarii (snake-necked turtle). Its description in RNAcentral is "tRNA-Val". Lineage: Eukaryota; Metazoa; Chordata; Testudines; Chelidae. The record is from RNAcentral.